UACGAAGGGGGCUAGCGUUGUUCGGAAUUACUGGGCGUAAAGCGCACGUAGGCGGGUUAUUAAGUCAGGGGUGAAAUCCCGGAGCUCAACUCCGGAACUGCCUUUGAUACUGGUAAUCUAGAGAUCGGAAGAGGUGAGUGGAAUUCCCAGUGUAGAGGUGAAAUUCGUAGAUAUUGGGAAGAACACCAGUGGCGAAGGCGGCUCACUGGUCCGAUACUGACGCUGAGGUGCGAAAGCCAGGGGAGCAAACGGG
This 253-nucleotide ribosomal RNA is filed under the name uncultured bacterium. RNAcentral describes it as "partial 16S ribosomal RNA". It matches the Rfam family "Bacterial small subunit ribosomal RNA", at positions 524 to 776 of the family's 1533-position model. The record is from RNAcentral.